This 1506-nucleotide ribosomal RNA is filed under the name metagenome. Its description in RNAcentral is "bacterial SSU rRNA". It matches the Rfam family "Bacterial small subunit ribosomal RNA". The record is from RNAcentral.
AGAGUUUGAUCCUGGCUCAGGACGAACGCUGGCGGCGUGCCUAAUACAUGCAAGUAGAACGCUGAAGAGAGGAGCUUGCUCUUCUUGGAUGAGUUGCGAACGGGUGAGUAACGCGUAGGUAACCUGCCUUGUAGCGGGGGAUAACUAUUGGAAACGAUAGCUAAUACCGCAUAACAAUGGAUGACCCAUGUCAUUUAUUUGAAAGGGGCAAAUGCUCCACUACAAGAUGGACCUGCGUUGUAUUAGCUAGUAGGUGAGGUAACGGCUCACCUAGGCGACGAUACAUAGCCGACCUGAGAGGGUGAUCGGCCACACUGGGACUGAGACACGGCCCAGACUCCUACGGGAGGCAGCAGUAGGGAAUCUUCGGCAAUGGGGGCAACCCUGACCGAGCAACGCCGCGUGAGUGAAGAAGGUUUUCGGAUCGUAAAGCUCUGCUGUAAGUCAAGAACGAGUGUGAGAGUGGAAAGUUCACACUGUGACGGUAGCUUACCAGAAAGGGACGGCUAACUACGUGCCAGCAGCCGCGGUAAUACGUAGGUCCCGAGCGUUGUCCGGAUUUAUUGGGCGUAAAGCGAGCGCAGGCGGUUUGAUAAGUCUGAAGUUAAAGGCUGUGGCUCAACCAUAGUUCGCUUUGGAAACUGUCAAACUUGAGUGCAGAAGGGGAGAGUGGAAUUCCAUGUGUAGCGGUGAAAUGCGUAGAUAUAUGGAGGAACACCGGUGGCGAAAGCGGCUCUCUGGUCUGUAACUGACGCUGAGGCUCGAAAGCGUGGGGAGCGAACAGGAUUAGAUACCCUGGUAGUCCACGCCGUAAACGAUGAGUGCUAGGUGUUGGAUCCUUUCCGGGAUUCAGUGCCGCAGCUAACGCAUUAAGCACUCCGCCUGGGGAGUACGACCGCAAGGUUGAAACUCAAAGGAAUUGACGGGGGCCCGCACAAGCGGUGGAGCAUGUGGUUUAAUUCGAAGCAACGCGAAGAACCUUACCAGGUCUUGACAUCCCGAUGCUAUUUCUAGAGAUAGAAAGUUACUUCGGUACAUCGGUGACAGGUGGUGCAUGGUUGUCGUCAGCUCGUGUCGUGAGAUGUUGGGUUAAGUCCCGCAACGAGCGCAACCCCUAUUGUUAGUUGCCAUCAUUCAGUUGGGCACUCUAGCGAGACUGCCGGUAAUAAACCGGAGGAAGGUGGGGAUGACGUCAAAUCACCAUGCCCCUUAUGACCUGGGCUACACACGUGCUACAAUGGUUGGUACAACGAGUUGCGAGUCGGUGACGGCAAGCUAAUCUCUUAAAGCCAAUCUCAGUUCGGAUUGUAGGCUGCAACUCGCCUACAUGAAGUCGGAAUCGCUAGUAAUCGCGGAUCAGCACGCCGCGGUGAAUACGUUCCCGGGCCUUGUACACACCGCCCGUCACACCACGAGAGUUUGUAACACCCGAAGUCGGUGAGGUAACCUUUUGGAGCCAGCCGCCUAAGGUGGGAUAGAUGAUUGGGGUGAAGUCGUAACAAGGUA